ACUGUAUACCCCCCGGGACAGGGAUUC
This 27-nucleotide non-coding RNA is filed under the name Cricetulus griseus (Chinese hamster). Lineage: Eukaryota; Metazoa; Chordata; Mammalia; Rodentia; Cricetidae. The record is from RNAcentral.